RNAcentral lists this ribosomal RNA (433 nucleotides) under uncultured bacterium. Its description in RNAcentral is "partial 16S ribosomal RNA". It matches the Rfam family "Bacterial small subunit ribosomal RNA", at positions 29 to 507 of the family's 1533-position model. The record is from RNAcentral.
AACGAACGCUGGCGGCAUGCCUAACACAUGCAAGUCGAACGAGACCUUCGGGUCUAGUGGCGCACGGGUGCGUAACGCGUGGGAACCUGCCCUUAGGUUCGGAAUAACUCCCCGAAAGGGGUGCUAAUACCGGAUAAUGUCUUCGGACCAAAGAUUUAUCGCCUUGGGAUGGGCCCGCGUUGGAUUAGCUAGUUGGUAGGGUAAAAGCCUACCAAGGCGACGAUCCAUAGCUGGUCUGAGAGGAUGAUCAGCCACACUGGGACUGAGACACGGCCCAGACUCCUACGGGAGGAAGCAGUGGGGAAUAUUGGACAAUGGGCGAAAGCCUGAUCCAGCAAUGCCGCGUGAGUGAUGAAGGCCUUAGGGUUGUAAAGCUCUUUUACCCGGGAUGAUAAUGACAGUACCGGGAGAAUAAGCUCCGGCUAACUCCGUG